This is an RNA transcript of Drosophila innubila, 1406 nucleotides long. It is a transcript of the gene named bax inhibitor 1, with no coding region annotated. The record is from RefSeq and is a predicted model, not a curated record. NCBI's taxonomy places the organism in Eukaryota, Metazoa, Arthropoda, Insecta, Diptera, Drosophilidae. The transcript has 5 exons.
UGUUCACUCACUCAUGAACUAGUAUUGCAAUCUACCUAAGAAAGGUGAAAUACAAAGUGACAAAUAGAAAAACAACGUAGUAAACGUCGUAAAAUCAAUCACUUUGAUUAUCAAGAGCAGAUAGUUACAGUUCACAGUUUUAACUCCUCCGUUCGCUAAUAAAAAUAUAAACAACUAAAGCUAGUCAUCAAGUGGGUAACAAGGAUACAUUAUGGCGGAUACAGCACAAAACUUAAACGAUCGUUUCCAACGAUUCGUAAAUGGCAUCGGAGAGCGAUAUGAGCCCUACGUACGUCAGCACUUGUCCAAGGUGUAUAUGGUGCUGGCGAGCACUACGGCUGCUGCGGCAGUCGGAGCUCUUCUUCAAAUGCAGAAUAUGUUUGAUUUGGGCAUGCUAGCAGCGAUUGCAUCAUUGGUGCUGGUUCUUGGUCUGCACUUCUAUAAGGAUGAUGGCAAGAACUAUUACACUCGCUUGGGAAUGCUCUAUGCCUUUGGUUUUUGCUCUGGACAGACUCUGGGUCCCCUAUUAGGAUACAUAGUCAGCAUAAAUCCGGCAAUUAUACUAACUGCACUCACCGGCACUUUCGUGACCUUUGGAUCAUUGUCAUUAGCCGCUCUAUUGGCCGAACAGGGCAAAUAUUUGUACUUGGGCGGAAUGCUGGUUAGCGUUAUCAACUGCAUGGCACUGUUGAGUCUCUUCAACAUGAUAUUCAAAUCAUACUUUGUCCAGAUUACUCAACUGUACGUUGGCGUUUUUGUCAUGGCCGCGUUUAUUGUUUACGACACACAAAAUAUUGUGGAGAAGUGUCGCAUGGGCAACCGCGAUGUGGUCCAGCAUGCCUUGGAUCUAUUCUUUGACGUUCUGAGCAUGUUCCGCCGUUUGCUUAUUAUUCUAACGCAAAAGCUGAAGAGUUUUAUGGUUUAAAAGUAGCUCAAAGAACAAUUUCAAGCAAUCAAAGAAUAACAUUGAACCACCUUGUAUAUAGCAAACAAUAGCUUAAUUUAAGCAAUUUAAUCAAGUCAACGGAGGAGCAAAAACAGGCUGACCGUCGUAAGAGGAAGUAAAAAGAUCCAUAAUUUUGUGAAAUGGUUAAUAUUAUGUCAUAAUUUUUUCAAAUUUAAAAAGAAAUAGCCGUGUUAAUCUUUUGGUUUUAAAUUAUAGCUCACAAAUUACAACAAACAAAUGUUUGGUACACCUGAAAACCAUGCAAAUCUAUAACAAAUCCUAAACAACAUCUAAAAUAAAAUUUCUCAUUCAUUCAAUUUGUUGUACGUUGUAAUGUAUUUAUUAUAUAAAAAUUAGCCCAGUCAUGUGUAUAUUACAAGUAUUAAUGUUGUAAUACUUAUUUUGAGUUCAUGUUUAAAUAUUUAAUGCGUAGCGUUAAUAAACAAAAGUGAAGAUGAUU